GAUCCUGGCUCAGGAUGAACGCUAGCGGCAGGCUUAACACAUGCAAGUCGAGGGGCAACGCGAGUAGCAAUACUUGGCGGCGACCGGCGCAAGGGUGCGUAACGCGUGAGCAACAUGCCCGUAUCAGGGGGAUAAUCCAGGGAAACUUGGUCUAAUACCCCAUAGUAAUUUUGUAAGGCAUCUUAUAAGAUUUAAAGCUUUGGUGGAUACGGAUUGGCUCGCGUGACAUUAGCUGGAUGGUAAGGUAACGGCUUACCAUGGCUAUGAUGUCUAGGGGUUCUGAGAGGAAGGUCCCCCCACACUGGAACUGAGACACGGUCCAGACUCCUACGGGAGGCAGCAGUGAGGAAUAUUGGACAAUGGAUGGAAAUCUGAUCCAGCCAUGCCGCGUGAAGGAAAGAAGGUCCUAUGGAUUGUAAACUUCUUUUGUAUGGGAGCAAUAAGGCCUACGAGUAGGUUGAUGAGAGUACCAUACGAAUAAGCACCGGCUAACUCCGUGCCAGCAGCCGC
Molecule: ribosomal RNA, 510 nt
Filed under: uncultured bacterium
Lineage: Bacteria
Description: bacterial SSU rRNA
Rfam family: Bacterial small subunit ribosomal RNA
Source: RNAcentral